This 665-nucleotide long non-coding RNA is filed under the name Olea europaea subsp. europaea. The record is from RNAcentral. Lineage: Eukaryota; Viridiplantae; Streptophyta; Magnoliopsida; Lamiales; Oleaceae.
CAGGAACAUAUAGACCCUCAUUUGCAAUAAAACAGAACGUAACAUGGUAAAAUAGAACCCUUUUCAGCCUUCCACAUUUUAAUAAGACUUUGCACUUGGUAUACCACUCAUUUUUUCAUUAUAACCAAAUGUUACUGGAUUGAUAAACAAUGUCAAUGAAUCUAUUUCCUUGAACAAUACUUGAGUCUGAAAGUAAUUCACAGAGACAAUUCAUAGAGCAAUUCACAGAUACAAUUCAUAGAGCUAUUCACAGACUUACAGAUUCAUAAAGCAAUUCACAGAUUUACAGAUUCAUGACGGUACAGAGCAAUACUGGAGAAAAAUUAAAACAUUAAAAUAGAGCAUUUCACAACGAUUUUCUCCUGGGCUUUUUCAAUAGCUUCCUAAAUUUGUUGUGUUCAGUAUUGUAACAUAACAAUCAACAAAUCAAAAUAAGAUAUAAAAAGAACUGAGAUGACGUCGGGGGCUUCACCUUCUUCUUCUGCAAUGUUGUUGUCAUUCAAAUUUCUGUUCAUAGUGAAGGCGUCUGCCGACUGCUAUCUAGGGCUCAAAAAUGCAAAAGAAUGCCGCAAGAUUCCAAUAUUAGACGAAGGCGAUGACGAGUGAGAGUUCGUGAGAUGUUGAGAAGAGAUUCAGAAGUUGAAUGAAAGAGGUUUCCGUCUGUG